UGUGACCUAUAUAUGAAAAUAUGGAACGAAUUUCCAGCAGCAUUCAAUUGUUUCCUCUGCCAUACCAGUCGAACAGCAGAUAACACGCAGCUCAACUGAUAGCAGAACGAUCUCGUAGGUACAGUGCUAUGUAUGUAGAUAUAUCGUAAGGCUAGGAUGGUGGUGAAUUUCACUGCCGAUGGCAAUAUAGCAGUAAGAGAAGGAGCUGACUCUCUCAGAGCCCGAGAUAUAUCAUCGCACCGCGCCGAUCGAGGUCGUGUGAUGACGAUUAGAAUUAAGAUUUCAGUUGCAAGUAAACAACCCACCUACCGUGUGUGGAGGAUCCGCGCGAGGUCAAUUUUAUCCGUUUUUGUGUAUAGCCCUAAGUUCAAUGUUAAAUUAAAUGUAAUAAAUAAAUAUGUUAGUGAAAUUAUUCCUAUGAAUAAAUGUAGUGUUGUGCCUAAAAUGUCGCGUGUGUGUUGAUUUGUUCGUGAGAAAAGUGUCCUUGAUAGGCAGACAAUUGGCAAUUGGAAGGCAAUUGAAUUGCGCCACCAAAAAUAAUCCCUUCAAGUGUUGGAGAGCCAGGAAAUUUAUCGAAGGUAUAGAAGGGCAAGUCGGUUCCUCAACAUUUUUGGUCCUACGAACCGGAUGAUUGGACCCUGGUGAGGAUUUGAAAAGGACUAAACUGGAUAACGAAGCCUGCGGCAGGCUCGGAUUGGCGCCAUCACAAGUAGACUGCAUUGUUAAUCGCUAUACCUCUACAUAAGAAGUGAAGUCGCCAUCGCACCUGGAAUUUUGGCACAAUUGAUUCCACGCCAUCAUAGAACAACACUACAAAGGACAUCCAAGGAUAAAGCACCGAUCCUCCAUCGCAUCUAGGCAGAAAAAACUUCGUUUUUGGACAUGAAUCGAUUGUCUUGUUUCCACAGUUAUCUUUAACGGACGGACUCGGGCAAAAACAAUCUUCGGAUCACGGUAUUUAAGCCUUUGGACCAUAGGACGGACAACUGAUCCAGCACAGGAUUUACUUUUCCAGGUAAAUAUAUUUUAGAUCAGUGUAUGUCCAGCCUUUUUGCUAGUGUCUCCGCAAUACUAACGCCCAAAUUUCGACGUAUUUCCUCUACAAUAUCUAUUAUGCACUGAGCUGGAAGGAAGGAACUCACAUACGAACAUCAGUUUGUCAAUCCAACGGGAUAUUUGGAACCUGAAAGCGGACAAGGACAUCACCCCGUGAGGCCAAACUUCAUUCUGGUCGUCUGAGCCGAGAAUAGCUAUUUUCGUGAGAUGGAUUGACGCAUGGCAGGAAGAGGCGGCAUCAAGUCUUGUUUUGUUGGUGAGCUACAACAGUAUAUGUCCGCCGAAGCUAGUCUCUGUAUACUACAGUUGGUUUCCUCCUCAUCUUUCCUUAUUGGUUGAACGAGUACGUACUGUGCUACAACAAUUGGUGGUGCGUCACAACGGAA
Molecule: long non-coding RNA, 1442 nt
Organism: Armigeres subalbatus
Lineage: Eukaryota; Metazoa; Arthropoda; Insecta; Diptera; Culicidae
Exons: 3
Source: RefSeq, a predicted model, not a curated record